This 74-nucleotide transfer RNA is filed under the name Candidatus Hepatoplasma crinochetorum Av. It matches the Rfam family "tRNA". From Rfam's summary of the family: Transfer RNA (tRNA) molecules are approximately 80 nucleotides in length. Their secondary structure includes four short double-helical elements and three loops (D, anti-codon, and T loops). Lineage: Bacteria; Bacillati; Mycoplasmatota; Mollicutes; Mycoplasmatales; Hepatoplasmataceae (SeqCode). The record is from Rfam by way of RNAcentral.
GGAACUGUAGCUCAGUUGGUUAGAGCACACCGCUGAUAACGGUGAGGUCGGUGGUUCAAGUCCACUCAGUUCCA